Molecule: ribosomal RNA, 304 nt
Filed under: Scyphosphaera apsteinii
Lineage: Eukaryota; Haptophyta; Coccosphaerales; Pontosphaeraceae
Description: partial Bacterial large subunit ribosomal RNA
Rfam family: Bacterial large subunit ribosomal RNA
Source: RNAcentral
GAACGUCGUGAGACAGUUCGGUCCCUAUCUGGUGUGGGCGUUGGAUGAUUGAUGGGAGCUGCUCCUAGUACGAGAGGACCGGAGUGGACGAACCGCUGGUGUUCGGGUUGUGAUGCCAAUCGCAUUGCCCGGUAGCUACGUUCGGAACGGAUAACCGCUGAAAGCAUCUAAGCGGGAAGCCGGCCCAAAGAUGAGUCAUCCCUGACAGUUUAACUGUCCUGAAGGGUUGUUCUAGACUAGAACGUUGAUAGGCAGGGUGUGGAAGCGUUGUAAGGCGUUAAGCUAACCUGUACUAAUUGCCCGA